UAUCGUGAGAAACGUUCUUCCUGUAGCGCGUCGGCUAAUUUCCCUUGAAAAUACAAGUAUUACGGCGAUAUUAAUUACUGUUGCAAUAACCAUCAGCCUAUUCCCAUUCUUAUUUGAUAUUUCUUCCAGUGACAUUUUAGACGUUCUCUCGUCUUAUCUCCAACACCCCUUUCUCGAUCUAACCCUACCUCUGUUUCUUGAUGUUUCAAUUUCCCCCACCAAAAGCCCUUACAGAAUUUGCUUCUCAUUGCGCAAGAUUUCCGUUUCACCGAUAAAUCUCUCUCUCGCCUUUUCAAUGGCGCUGGAUAACUUUGGUGACUUUGUAUAAUGGAGACGGAUCCAAAAGCGGGCAACGAACAUCCAGAGGUCAAUUUGUAAUGUGCUUUGAUGACGAAUUGGAAGAUUUCGCUUUUUAUCAAGGUGGAUUGGAAAGAUAACUUUGGCUAGAGCAACUUUAUUUCAGUUCCACAUCUGGUUGAGGUGUGUAUAUACUACCAAAAAACUAAGAAUUGCCAGCGUUUAUAUUAUCGGCAUUUGUUUAUGUGCUGAUAAAAAUAUAUUAUUGCCAGCACUUAAUUUUUACGCCAGUAAAUUAUUGAUUUUUCCAACGUUUAUGUUGUUAUGCCGGUAAUAAUAUAUAGCUUUGGCGGUGUUUAAAAAAAUGCCGACAAUUUAUAAAUUAUACGCCGGUAAAUUAAUAGUUUGCUGGCGUUUAUAUUGUUACGCCAUUAAUGAUAUAUUGUUUUGGCAACAUUUAAGAAUAUAUAGCUUUAGCAGAUAAAUUACUAGUUUGUUGGUAUUUAUAUUGUUGCGGUGAUAACAAUAUAAAGCUUUAGCGGUGUUUAAAAGAAUGCCGAACAUUGAUCAAUUGUACGCCAGUAAUUUAGUAGUGUGCUAGCAUUUAUAUUGUUACGCCGAUAAUAAUAUAUAGUUAUGACAGUGUUAAAAAAAAUGCCAAAAAUUUAUCAAUUAUACGCUGGUAAAUUAGUAGUUUGCUAAUGUUUGUAUUGUUACGUCGGUAAUUAUUUAUAGCUUUGGUGGCAUUUAAAAAAAUGGCGAAAAUUGAUCAAUUAUACAUCGAUAAUUUAGUAGUGUGCCAGUGUUUAUAUUGUUACGUCGGUAAUAAUAUAUAGCUCAAAAGAAGUAAAAUUAUUUUAAAUUUAUUGGUAGUUAAAGAAAUAUUAAAAAGAAUAAAAAAAACUUAUUUAAAUUAUACGAAGAAAAAAAUACUAAAGUUCUUGCCACAGAAAAAUGGAAAAAAUAAUCAUAAUGUGUCAUUGCCACCUCCUCUUCUGCUGAAUAAACAAAACUAAGAUUACAAUAAAAUCUUAAAAAAAUUAUAAAGAAAAUACAAUGCGUCAAUAUAUGGCAUAACCAUAAAUAUUGUCUCAAUUAAUAAAAGUUGCAAAUACCAUUAAACUAAAAUAUUAAUAUAAUUUGAGAUUAUUCACUUAUAAUCCCCUCAAUCCUCAUCAUCGUUGUUCUCUUCUUCUUCUCCAUCUUCCUCUUAUUCUUCCUCUUUAUCAUUUUCCUCUUCAUCUUUCUCUUCCCCUUCAUUAAUCCCUAUUUGAUUUUGUCCUAAGGCCUACAUAUAAAUUCAAAUGAGGGUCCAAAAAUUUCAAAAUUAGGUUGAUUGAUAUCAACUAAACAUACGUGGGAUGCUCACAUGUGCAUGCAUGAAUGUGUUUACUAAGUUUUACAAUUCAAUUAAUUCGUUUCACGUUUUAUCAAACUCUUCCUUAGAUAUACCAUCUUCUUGUUUAGAAGUUUGUAGUGAAUGUUGACAAGUUUACCUUAUAGGGAUUGGCUCAAACCCCAAACCGCACACAUGUCCAGGCCGUUCUGAGCCCAUAACUUUAUAAUAAACAUCAUCUGAUACCCAAGUCAUAGUUCCUCCAGACCCCAUUUCUAUGAGACUUGAGUCCUAUGUUAAAAGUUCCUCCUCAACCUGCAAUAGAUAAUAAAAAAAAAAAACACAUUCUUAGUCUUAUAAAUCCAUUAAAAUUAAAAAAUAAUAAAUUUAAUAAACACACAACUUUCAUCCUUGUCUCAUCAUUGUAGUGGGUUCCAUCAUUUCACUUAUGGGUCGUGACAAAUAAUUGGGUUCGACUUGGCAAUGCUCGAGCUGGGCUUGACGUGUGUGAAGUUUGGGGUUUGUGCGGAUUUGGCUCAAACCCCAAACUGCGCACACGUCCAGACCGUUCUGGGCCCAUAACUUUAGAAUAAACAUCAUCUAAUGCCCAAGCCAUGGUUCUUCCAGACCCCAUUUCUAUGGGACUUGUGUCCUGUGUUAAAAGUCACUCAAUCUCAGCCUGUAAUAGAUAAUAAAAACUACACAUUUUUCAUCUUAUAAAUCUAUUAAAAUUAAAAAAUAAUAAAUUUGAAAACAAACAUACAACUUUCUUCCUCGUCUCAUCAUUGUAGUGGAUUCUAUCCUUUCACUUAUAGGUUGUGACAAACAAUUGGGAUCGACUUGGCAAUGUUCCAGUUGAUUUUUUCUGCAUCCAAUAUUUUAGAUUAAACACAUAUAUCGAAAAUAAACAAUUAACAAAUAUUCGAGAAUAAAUAAAUAUUAAUUAAAUAUAUACCACAUCAUGGGCAUAUCUUGUAUAACUUUUUUUUAUCCUCCACUGUUAACAACCACCUGCUUCUUAUGGCACUCAUUGUUUUUAUUACAUUUUGACUAAGAUUAUAAGAAUUAUGAUUAAAAUAACCAGUUAGUUGACUUUCUAAAUCUAUAAGAGAAAUGCGCGCAUUGUUACAUAUAUUCUGGAUCAAACCAAAGAUUGGCCAACUGCGUUAGUUGCGAUAAGUCCUACCAUAUCGAGACUUGCCUUUGCCAUAACUUGUGCUGCAGAGGUGUCUUUUUCAUUAAGUAACUUUUUCUUCAAUUCGUGCUUGUAGUCUUUCCAUUUUUUUCCAAUGUCUUUUAAUAGCAAUUUUUUUAAUGCAUCCAAUUUGUCAUUAGAAACUUUAAACUUGCCUUACAAUCAAAAUAAACUUACACAAGUAUUUAUCUUGCUUUCUAACAAAAUUUUCAAAAUAUACAUCUUUAAUUAAUAAUAAUGGUUUAAUGCAAGUUCUAUACCAUUAUAAAACCCCAUACUUCCUCCUUUAUGGUUGUAGGCACCGACCUCCAAUCCUUAUAAAUUAUUGGAACCAACGUAUAAGUUCUCGCUAUCAGGCCAUCAAACCUUGCCACAUUUGAUUCUUGCUUUUUUAUGGGUUGACCAAGACUAUUGAGCCCCAUAUCAAUUCGCUUUCCUUCUGGUAGAUGCCAAAUGUCAUGAAUCGAGUACAAUAGUCUCUUUACUCUACCUCCAUUACUAUCAGCAUAAAUGCAUUUAAUGACAUUGUUACUAUUUUGUAUGUGCAUUUAUAGUAAAAUAAAUAAGAAGUAAGAAAAACAAAAGCAUACGAACAAUGACAACAAAACGAUUUCUAAUGUCCGAACACAAGUCGACAUUUUCUGCUUCAGAAUGUGGUGCUAUUGGUACAUAGGUACAUUACUGGGUCUUUCUACUGAUCUCUGUAUGUGUGGAUAGUUGGCCUCCCAUUUGUAUCAAUGUAGAAGGUUGGGUCCCUUUCUAUGAAGAAAAUGAUGGGUGGGAAGGAUAAUCUAUAGAAAGUGAUAACUCCACCAUCCUAUCAACGCAAGGGGGCAGCCCAUCGAUAGAGGGUAAUGAAUGGGCCACCCUAUCAAGGGAUGGGUAUGAUUGCAUCUCACUAUAGAUAGCCGAUACUGAAGUAGAUGUCUUCGCAAGUGUGGUUUGAUAGUCUUUGCCUUCUUUUUUGGACCCAUUGUACCAAAAUAAAAAUAAGUUAUAUUUGCAAAUCAAUAGAAAUAAUAAUAUUUAGAGCAUGAUAUGAGAGAGAAGUAAAGUUAUAAGAGAUAUCAUGUAAGUUAAAAAUAUAAAACAAAAAAUUAUUCAUAUUCAAAAGUCUAAAUAUAUAUUUCUUACUUAACACUUUUUAAGGAAUUUUAAUCGUCAUUUCAUCUAUGUCAUUUCUGGUCCACACAACAUCGUAAAUAGCAAGUUCAUAGCUUUAUUGUUGUAAGUGUUACAAUAUUCAAUAAGGAUGAAUUUGACUUUAGUCUUGUAAAUUUUUCUCAUAUAGUACACAUUGGUAAUCAAAUUAUUGAUAAUCCGUUUGUUUUAUCCUCCCAAGCAUCUGAAGUAUAUUAUGUGGCAGAUGAAAGAUGCCCAAAUUGGCUUGUCAUCGUUAGGACAAAACUAAGAAACGUUUAUGAUAUUGGUGAAGAGGAAGUGGCUGGCAACGAUGAGAAUGAAUAUUGUAACACUUACAAUGAUGAAGCUAUUGAACCUGCCAUUGACAAUGUUGUGUGGACACGAAAUGAUAUAGAUGGAGUGAAGAUUGAAGUUGCGUAAUAGUGUUGAGUACAAUGGGUCCAAAAAAGAAAACAGACUAUCAGACCACACUUGUGAAGACAAUAUACUGUAGUAUCAGCUGUCCAUAAUGAAACGCAAUCAUACCUAUCUCUUGAUAGGGCAGCCCAUUCAUUACACUUUGUUGUUGGGCCACCCCCCUCUCAUUGAUAGGAUGGUGGAGUUAUCACAUUCUGUAGAUUGUCCUUCCCAACCAUCAUUUUCUUCACAUGAAGGGACCCAACCUUCUACAUCGAUACAAAUGAGAGGCCAACUAUCCACACAUACAGAGAUCAGGAGAGAGACCCAGCAAUGUACAUCUGUACCAGUAGCACCACAUUUCGAAGCAGAAAAUGUCGACUUGUGUUCGGACAUUUGAAAUCAUUUUGUUGUCAUUGUUUGUAUGUUUUUGUUUUUCUUACUUCUUAUUUAUUUCACUAUGAAUGCACAUAUACAAAAUAGUAACAAUGUCAUUAAAUCCAUUUAUGUUGAUAAUAUUGGAGGUAGAGUAAAGAGACCAUUGUACUCAAUUCAUGACAUUUGGCAUCUACCAGAAGGUGAGCGAAUUGAUAUUGAGCUCAAUAGUCUUGGUCAACCUAUCAAAAAACAAGACACAAAGGUGGCAAUGUUUGGUGGUCUGAUAGCGAGAACUAAUUGGUUGGUUCUAAUAAGUUACAAGGAUUGGAGGCCGGUGUCUAAAACCAUAAAGGAGGAAGCGUGGGAUUUUAUAAUAGUAUAGAACUUGUAUUAAACCAUUAUUAUUAUUUAAAUAUGUAUAUUUUGAAAAUUUUGUUAGAAAGCAAGAUAGAUACUUGUGUAAGUUUAUUUUGAUUGUAAGGCAAGUUUGAAGUUUCUAAUGACAAAUUGGAUGCAUUAAAAAAAUUGCUACUAAAGGACAUGAGGAAGAAAUGGAAAGACUACAAGCACGAAUUGAAGAAAAAGUUACUUAAUGAAAAAGACACAUCUGUAGCACAAGUUAUGGCAAGGGCAAGUCCCGAUAUGGUGAGACUUAUUGCAACUAGCGAAGUUGGCCAAUCUUUGGUUCGAUCCAAAAUAUAUGUAACAAUGUGCGCAUUUCUCUAAUAGAUUUAGAAAGUCAACCAACUAGUUAUUUUAAUCAUAAUUCUUAUAAUCAUAGUCAAAAUAUAAUAAAAACAAUGAGUGCCAUAAGAAGCUGGUGGUUGUUAACAGCAGAGGAUAGAAAAAAGUUAUGCAAGAUAUGUCAAUGAUGAGGUAUAUAUUUAAUGAAUAUUUAUUUAUUCUCGAAUAUUUUUUAAUUCUUUAUUUUCGAUAUAUGUGUUUAAUCUAGAAUAUUGGAUGCGGCAAAAAUCAAUUGGGGCAUUGCCAAGUCGAGCUCAAUUGUUUGUCAGGACCCAUAAGUGCAAGGAUGGAACCAACUACAAUGAUGAGACGAGGAAGAAAAUUGUUGAGAUUUAGGGACUUUUAACACAGGAUACAAGUCCGAUAAAAAUGGGGUCUGGAGGAACCAUGGUUUGGGCAUCAAAUGAUGUUUAUUCUAAAGUUAUGAGCCCAAAACGGUCUGGAUGUGUGUGCGGUUUGGGCCAACCCCUACAAGGCAAACUUGUCAACAUUCACUUCCAAUUUCUAAGCAAGAAGAUGGUAUAUCCAAGGAAGAGUUUGAUAAAAUGGACGAAUUAAUUGAAUUGCAAAAAUUAGUAAACACAUUCGUGCAUGCACAUGUAAGCACCCCACAUAUGUUUAGUUGAUAUCAAUCAACCUGAACCCUCAUUUGAAUUUAUAUGUAAGCUUUAGGAGAAAAUCAAAUAGAGAAUGCAGAGGAAGAUAAAGAUGAAAAAGAAAAAGAGGAAGAGAACGGCGUGGACGAGGAUUGAGGGGAUUAUAUGUGAAGAAUCUCAAAUUAUAUUAAUCAUAUUUUCUUUAUAAUUUCCUUAAAAUUUUAUUGUGAUCUUGGUUUUGUUUAUUGAGCAAGAGAAGUGUUGGCAAUGACACAUUAUGAUUGUUUUUUUUCCA
Long non-coding RNA from Carya illinoinensis, 6380 nucleotides. RefSeq lists it as uncharacterized. The transcript is spliced from 5 exons. NCBI's taxonomy places the organism in Eukaryota, Viridiplantae, Streptophyta, Magnoliopsida, Fagales, Juglandaceae. The record is from RefSeq and is a predicted model, not a curated record.